This 487-nucleotide ribosomal RNA is filed under the name uncultured bacterium. RNAcentral describes it as "bacterial SSU rRNA". It matches the Rfam family "Bacterial small subunit ribosomal RNA", at positions 30 to 507 of the family's 1533-position model. The record is from RNAcentral.
UUGAACGCUGGCGGCAUGCCUAACACAUGCAAGUCGAACGGUAACGCGGAGAGCUUGCUCUCUAGCGACGAGUGGCGGACGGGUGAGUAAUACUUAGGAAUCUGCCCAGUAGUGGGGGACAACAUUCGGAAACGGAUGCUAAUACCGCAUACGCACUACGGUGGAAAGUGGGGGAUCUUCGGACCUCACGCUAUUGGAUGAGCCUAAGUCGGAUUAGCUUGUUGGUGAGGUAAUGGCCCACCAAGGCGACGAUCUGUAGCUGGUCUGAGAGGACGAUCAGCCACACUGGGACUGAGACACGGCCCAGACUCCUACGGGAGGCAGCAGUGGGGAAUAUUGGACAAUGGGCGCAAGCCUGAUCCAGCAAUGCCGCGUGUGUGAAGAAGGCCUGCGGGUUGUAAAGCACUUUCAGUAGAGAAGAAAAGCCCAGGGUUAAUACCCCUGAGUCUUGACGUAACCUACAGAAGAAGCACCGGCUAACUCCGUG